UUGUUCUGCAAGUCCUCCGUUAAAUCCACCUGCUCAACAGAUGGGCUGCGGAGGAUACUACAGGGCUAGGAGGCGGGAGAGGCAAGCGGUACUCAGUGGGUAGGGGUAAAAUCCUCUGAUCCACCGAAGACCACCAGUGGCGAAGGCGGCUUGCCAGAACGCGCUCGACGGUGAGGGAUGAGAGCUGGGGGAGCAAACCGGAUUAGAUACCCGGGUAGUCCCAGCUGUAAACGAUGCAGACUCGGUGAUGGGUUGGCUUCGCGCCAACCCAGUGCCGCAGGGAAGCCGUUAAGUCUGCCGCCUGGGGA
This 308-nucleotide ribosomal RNA is filed under the name uncultured archaeon. RNAcentral's name for it is "bacterial SSU rRNA". It matches the Rfam family "Archaeal small subunit ribosomal RNA", at positions 526 to 834 of the family's 1478-position model. The record is from RNAcentral.